This 403-nucleotide ribosomal RNA is filed under the name Verrucomicrobiota bacterium. RNAcentral describes it as "Verrucomicrobia bacterium partial 16S ribosomal RNA". It matches the Rfam family "Bacterial small subunit ribosomal RNA", at positions 355 to 776 of the family's 1533-position model. Lineage: Bacteria; Pseudomonadati; Verrucomicrobiota. The record is from RNAcentral.
UGGGGAAUAUUGCACAAUGGGGGAAACCCUGAUGCAGCGACGCCGCGUGAGCGAAGAAGGCUUUCGAGUCGUAAAGCUCUGUCCUAUGAGAAGAUAAUGACGGUAUCAUAGGAGGAAGCCCUGGCUAAAUACGUGCCAGCAGCCGCGGUAAUACGUAUGGGGCGAGCGUUGUCCGGAAUUAUUGGGCGUAAAGGGUACGUAGGUGGUUUUUUAAGUCAGGUGUCAAAGCGUGGAGCUUAACUCCAUUAAGCACUUGAAACUGAAAGACUUGAGUGAAGGAGAGGAAAGUGGAAUUCCUAGUGUAGCGGUGAAAUGCGUAGAUAUUAGGAGGAAUACCGGUGGCGAAGGCGACUUGCUGGACUACAACUGACGCUGAGAAACGAAAGAGUGGGUAGCAAACAGG